Long non-coding RNA from Chiroxiphia lanceolata (lance-tailed manakin), 283 nucleotides. RefSeq lists it as uncharacterized. The record is from RefSeq and is a predicted model, not a curated record. NCBI's taxonomy places the organism in Eukaryota, Metazoa, Chordata, Aves, Passeriformes, Pipridae. The transcript has 2 exons.
UUUCUGAAAAUAAGCAAUUGGUAACUGAACUCCUGCAGGACAUCAGCUACAGCUCAGUUGCCCAAAAUGGGAUAUGUUCUGAAAGGACAAGGGAGGAGUCUGUCUUGUCCCUUUGCCAACUCACCGAAAGUAAGGAGAGAUUACAGUUACCUUGUAUGCUGCUUGUGCAGGAAAGAAGGGAUGGAACACAGGAGGCAAAACCAACUAAGAUGAAAGGAUGAGUCACUGAAUUUUGAACUUGUCUGAUGAAAGGGUUGUAAUAAAAUGGACUAGAAACUCUAAA